This 250-nucleotide ribosomal RNA is filed under the name uncultured bacterium. Its description in RNAcentral is "partial small subunit ribosomal RNA". It matches the Rfam family "Bacterial small subunit ribosomal RNA", at positions 26 to 288 of the family's 1533-position model. The record is from RNAcentral.
AGGACGAACGCUGGCGGCGUGCUUAACACAUGCAAGUCGAACGAGGUGCUUGCACCUAGUGGCGAACGGGUGAGUAACACGUGAGCAACCUGCCCUUGGCUCUGGGAUAGCCUCCGGAAACGGGGAUUAAUACCGGACAUGACCUGCCUCCGCAUGGGGGCGGGUGGAAAGUUUUUUCGGCCAGGGAGGGGCUCGCGGCCUAUCAGCUUGUUGGGGGGGUAACGGCCCACCAAGGCGACGACGGGUAGCC